Molecule: ribosomal RNA, 465 nt
Filed under: Vreelandella stevensii
Lineage: Bacteria; Pseudomonadati; Pseudomonadota; Gammaproteobacteria; Oceanospirillales; Halomonadaceae
Description: partial 16S ribosomal RNA
Rfam family: Bacterial small subunit ribosomal RNA
Source: RNAcentral
CCUACGGGAGGCUGCAGUGGGGAAUAUUGGACAAUGGGCGAAAGCCUGAUCCAGCCAUGCCGCGUGUGUGAAGAAGGCCUUCGGGUUGUAAAGCACUUUCAGUGGGGAAGAAAGCCUUGGGGCUAAUACCCUCGAGGAAGGACAUCACCCACAGAAGAAGCACCGGCUAACUCCGUGCCAGCAGCCGCGGUAAUACGGAGGGUGCGAGCGUUAAUCGGAAUUACUGGGCGUAAAGCGCGCGUAGGCGGUCUGAUAAGCCGGUUGUGAAAGCCCCGGGCUCAACCUGGGAACGGCAUCCGGAACUGUCAGGCUAGAGUGCAGGAGAGGAAGGUGGAAUUCCCGGUGUAGCGGUGAAAUGCGUAGAGAUCGGGAGGAAUACCAGUGGCGAAGGCGGCCUUCUGGACUGACACUGACGCUGAGGUGCGAAAGCGUGGGUAGCAAACAGGAUUAGAUACCCCAGUAGUC